GAUGAAGAACGUAGCGAAAUGCGAUAAGUAGUGUGAAUUGCAGAAUUCAGUGAAUCAUCGAAUCUUUGAACGCACAUUGCGCCCCUUGGUAUCCCGAGGGGCAUGCCUGUUCGAGCGUCAUUUCACCACUCAAGCCUGGCUUGGUGUUGGGCGACGUCCCCUUUAGGGACGCGCCUCGAAACGCUCGGCGGCGUGGCACCGGCUUUAAGCGUAGCAGAAUCUUUCGCUUUGGAAGUCGGGGCCCCGCCUGCCGGAAUACCUACUCGUAAGGUUGACCUCGGAUCAGGCAGGGAUACCCGCUGAACUUAAGCAUAUCAAUAAGCGGGGA
RNAcentral lists this unclassified non-coding RNA (328 nucleotides) under soil metagenome. RNAcentral's name for it is "partial contains 5.8S ribosomal RNA, internal transcribed spacer 2, and large subunit ribosomal RNA". The stretch from base 1 to 120 matches the Rfam family "5.8S ribosomal RNA", at positions 35 to 154 of the family's 154-position model. The record is from RNAcentral.